This 492-nucleotide ribosomal RNA is filed under the name uncultured bacterium. Its description in RNAcentral is "partial 16S ribosomal RNA". It matches the Rfam family "Bacterial small subunit ribosomal RNA", at positions 29 to 507 of the family's 1533-position model. The record is from RNAcentral.
AGUGAACGCUGGCGGUAGGCCUAACACAUGCAAGUCGAACGGCAGCACAGUAAGAGCUUGCUCUUACGGGUGGCGAGUGGCGGACGGGUGAGGAAUACAUCGGAAUCUACUUUUUCGUGGGGGAUAACGUAGGGAAACUUACGCUAAUACCGCAUACGACCUACGGGUGAAAGCAGGGGAUUUUCGGACCUUGCGCGAUUGAAUGAGCGGAUGUCGGAUUAGCUAGUUGGCGGGGUAAAGGCCCACCAAGGCGACGAUCCGUAGCUGGUCUGAGAGGAUGAUCAGCCACACUGGAACUGAGACACGGUCCAGACUCCUACGGGAGGCAGCAGUGGGGAAUAUUGGACAAUGGGCGCAAGCCUGAUCCAGCCAUACCGCGUGGGUGAAGAAGGCCUUCGGGUUGUAAAGCCCUUUUGUUGGGAAAGAAAAGCAGCAGGUUAAUACCCCGCUGUUCUGACGGUACCCAAAGAAUAAGCACCGGCUAACUUCGUG